AAUCCUCAAAACCCUUUUUUCUUUAAAGGAUUUUGGACUUGGAGGUCUAAUGCUUGCCUUUGCUUUCGAAAGCGAGCUCCUCUCAAAUGAAUUAGUGGGGUCUGCUUUGCCUAUCCUCGACGUGAUAAGAAGUUUCUACGUUUAUUUGGAUUUGGCACUGUCCCGCUUCUAAUUGUCUCACAGACAACGAUGGUGCUCCGGUCACCGCCAUCUUCUAUGUUGGCGGGGGGAGGGCUGGACCCACAAAAAGGA
RNAcentral lists this unclassified non-coding RNA (252 nucleotides) under uncultured Russula. Its description in RNAcentral is "sequence contains ITS2". The record is from RNAcentral. Lineage: Eukaryota; Fungi; Basidiomycota; Agaricomycetes; Russulales; Russulaceae.